RNAcentral lists this ribosomal RNA (468 nucleotides) under uncultured bacterium. RNAcentral's name for it is "partial 16S ribosomal RNA". It matches the Rfam family "Bacterial small subunit ribosomal RNA", at positions 28 to 507 of the family's 1533-position model. The record is from RNAcentral.
GACGAACGCUGGCGGCGUGCUUAACACAUGCAAGUCGAACGGAAAGGCCCUGCUUUUGUGGGGUGCUCGAGUGGCGAACGGGUGAGUAACACGUGAGUAACCUGCCCUUGACUUUGGGAUAACUUCAGGAAACUGGGGCUAAUACCGGAUAGGAGCUCCUGCUGCAUGGUGGGGGUUGGAAAGUUUCGGCGGUUGGGGAUGGACUCGCGGCUUAUCAGCUUGUUGGUGGGGUAGUGGCUUACCAAGGCUUUGACGGGUAGCCGGCCUGAGAGGGUGACCGGCCAAAUUGGGACUGAGAUACGGCCCAGACUCCUACGGGAGGCAGCAGUGGGGAAUAUUGCAAAAUGGGCGGAAGCCUGAUGCAGCAACGCCGCGUGCGGGAUGACGGCCUUCGGGUUGUAAACCGCUUUCGCCUGUGACGAAGCGUGAGUGACGGUAAUUGGUAAAGAAGCAACGGCUAACUACGUG